UGGGGAAUAUUGGACAAUGGGCGCAAGCCUGAUCCAGCCAUGCCGCGUGAGUGAUGAAGGCCCUAGGGUUGUAAAGCUCUUUCACCGGUGAAGAUAAUGACGGUAACCGGAGAAGAAGCCCCGGCUAACUUCGUGCCAGCAGCCGCGGUAAUACGAAGGGGGCUAGCGUUGUUCGGAUUUACUGGGCGUAAAGCGCACGUAGGCGGACUUUUAAGUCAGGGGUGAAAUCCCGGGGCUCAACCCGGAACUGCCUUUGAUACUGGAAGUCUUGAGUAUGGUAGAGGUGAGUGGAAUUCCGAGUGUAGAGGUGAAAUUCGUAGAUAUUCGGAGGAACACCAGUGGCGAAGGCGGCUCACUGGACCAUUACUGACGCUGAGGUGCGAAAGCGUGGGGAGCAAACAGG
RNAcentral lists this ribosomal RNA (403 nucleotides) under Actinomycetes bacterium. Its description in RNAcentral is "Actinobacteria bacterium partial 16S ribosomal RNA". It matches the Rfam family "Bacterial small subunit ribosomal RNA", at positions 355 to 776 of the family's 1533-position model. Lineage: Bacteria; Bacillati; Actinomycetota; Actinomycetes. The record is from RNAcentral.